Small nucleolar RNA from Phyllostomus hastatus (greater spear-nosed bat), 130 nucleotides. RefSeq annotates it as small nucleolar RNA SNORA38. NCBI's taxonomy places the organism in Eukaryota, Metazoa, Chordata, Mammalia, Chiroptera, Phyllostomidae. The transcript has a single exon. The record is from RefSeq and is a predicted model, not a curated record.
UCCUCCUACAAAGGCAUGUCUGUGGUUCCCUAUCUUUGGACACGUAAGAACUGGAGGCAAAGAAAUGGGGACCUGGAGAAGUUUGGGGCGAGUUGUUUUCUGCAGGCUCAAGAUCAACCAUCCCACAUAG